Molecule: long non-coding RNA, 223 nt
Filed under: Carica papaya (papaya)
Lineage: Eukaryota; Viridiplantae; Streptophyta; Magnoliopsida; Brassicales; Caricaceae
Description: long non-coding RNA (CPAP_LNC012571)
Source: RNAcentral
UCAACACCUUGUGCAUAAAGUGAAAGGAAAGUCAAAACGCUCUUAACUCAAUUCUAAAAUAUUUGAUUACCACCGUUGAUAUCUACAAAGAAGAGUUCAUUUGGUAUUUAUAGACAAAGAAAUCAAUGAUAAGUUACAACACAAUAACUACAAUUGUAACUCCCACAAUAACUAGGCUAAUUAUGUGAUAAUUACAAUUAUAACUCCAACAAUAACUAGGCUA